AGCCAUGUCUCCUGCUUUAAGCAAGCUGGGUGCCGGAGCUGACUCUGCAAAUCAAAUAAGCUGGGGUCAGCUCGCAGCACCUCCAUAGAACCAGCAGGGUUACACAGUGCCCCAUGACCUCACGUACUCUCUAAAAGGCAGAGAUUUACCCGUUGGAGAGAAGCCCCCAGAGGAGGCCCAAGGAAGACUUAUCAGCUGCUGCCUGGAGCCAAAGGAGCAAGGGAGUUUGACAGCUGCAAGGGAAGCUGACACUGGGAGGGAAGGAGUGUACGAGGAAGCAGGCUCAAGGCCACACAACCCCAGGAUUGACGGAAAGAGCUGCAGCUCAAAUCCAGACCUUCAGUGGUUCUAAGGCGUGCAGGCGUGAUAAAACACAGAUGGAGAGGAGCAGACAACGAUGCCAUGCUCGCAGAAGACAUCGCACCACGUUGUAUGCUUUCAGAAAUCUUGGAAGACCUCAGGAUGCAAAGUAGGAUUUUUCUUUUCCCUCUUUGGGUCUUUCCCCUCCUUCCCUCUUCGUGUAUUUGGAAUUAUCUCUUUGUCUCUUCUGCGGCUGUGUGGCCCUUAGAUCACCUGCUGCUGUUAGGAGCACUGUUGCUCUGCCUGGGCCACUGGGGCACUGCGAUGCCCUGGGCUUGACCCCACCUCUACCUGAGCCUGUUUCUGCAGCUGUGGUGAGGCAGAGGUGGGAGGAGAAGCCAUCCAUCAACCCCGCAGCCCCAGAGAGCUAAAUGAGGACUGGAAGGGUCAGAGCUGGUGGGCACUUGAGGGCCGUAGAGACAGGUGGGGAUUACAAAUUGUUGAGAUAUCAGAGCUGCGCUUGAUGGAUGGUCCAGAAUGAGGGGCAAGAUGUUGCUCCUCAGUCUCCUCCGACAGCAGGACACAGCCUGGGCCUCUGGCCUCCCCUGACUUCCUCUGGCCACCCCGACAAGACCCCUUUUCCCCAGCUUUCUUUUUCCUGCCUACUCACAGUUCAUCCAUCAAGCCAUGCCCCGAAGCUGACCUUUGCAGAGAAUAGCCCAGCCUAAGAAGCGUUUCUUGCCGAGACACCUCACCAAGGAGUUUUGUCCACAUUGGCUGGCCCAGCAGUAACCACAGCACAGCCAGUGUCUUAUCUCCUGCCCACCUCUUCCCCAUGAGCCAGAAGCAAGGGGAAGGAGAGACAGAUCUCUUUACCAGGGUUCCUGGUCAGCCCUCCUGGCCUAUCCAUGCCUGCAGAGCCGUGGGUGCCUGUCUCUGCAGUUCAACAGUCAAUAGGACUCCCCCUGUCUUCACUUUUUAAAAGCAAAGGUUUCAUUUGGCCAUAAUGGAGGAGGGGCUUGUGGAGAACCCUCCCGGGGAACCAGCUAAUGGCUAUAGAAGGCAGAGAAGGGGAAGUCAUUGUCAUCAACUAUAAGGUCACUGGUGAGUUACUGUGUUUCAGGAGAGCUCCACACCCACACCCAGGAGAGUAGCCCUGGUUAAGCCCAGUGGGGCCACAAAGCAAAAGCGAAACAGGAAGACCCGAUAGGUUAGGCCUAGGGAUAGGGACGAGGACUUGGUGGAAGG
Molecule: long non-coding RNA, 1548 nt
Organism: Mus musculus (house mouse)
Lineage: Eukaryota; Metazoa; Chordata; Mammalia; Rodentia; Muridae
Product: predicted gene, 53408
Exons: 3
Source: RefSeq, a predicted model, not a curated record